GAACGCUGGCGGCAUGCCUUACACAACGCAAGUCGAACGGCAGCACGGGAGCAAUCCUGGUGGCGAGUGGCGAACGGGUGAGUAAUAUAUCGGAACGUGCCCAGUCGUGGGGGAUAACGUAGCGAAAGCUACGCUAAUACCGCAUACGAUCUACGGAUGAAAGCGGGGGAUCGCAAGACCUCGCGCGAUUGGAGCGGCCGAUAUCAGAUUAGGUAGUUGGUGAGGUAAAGGCUCACCAAGGCGACGAUCCGUAACUGGUCUGAGAGGAUGAUCAGUCACACUGGAACUGAGACACGGUCCAGACUCCUACGGGAGGCAGCAGUGGGGAAUAUUGGACAAUGGGCGAAAGCCUGAUCCAGCCAUGCCGCGUGUGUGAAGAAGGUCUUCGGAUUGUAAAGCACUUUAAGUUGGGAGGAAGGGUAGUAACCUAAUACGUUGCUACUUUGACGUUACCGACAGAAUAAGCACCGGCUAACUUCGUG
Molecule: ribosomal RNA, 482 nt
Filed under: uncultured bacterium
Lineage: Bacteria
Description: bacterial SSU rRNA
Rfam family: Bacterial small subunit ribosomal RNA
Source: RNAcentral